UGUAUCUUUAGAUAUUUUGGAGAUAAAUACGAUGAGGAAUGUAAUACAUUUUGUUGGAUAACACGUGACUGUAUCCACGUGACACGUAACUGUAGCCACGUGAUGGUUCUGAACAGACGGAUGCAAGGCUGACUGGCAAAGAGAGGAUUGUUUCCAAUAAUGAAUGAUAAGAAAUACUUUAUUUAAGAUUUUGCGUUUUUAGUCCAAUUGAAAGAAAAACCCGACUGACAAUCCCGGUUUGAUGGAGUUCUUGUUACGCUUUGUGUAGAAGUCUUCACUGUAUAGGUGUUUCUACUGCAACGGUACAUAAAGUGGCGAUUUAACGGUGCGUGACAUAUAUUGUGAAACACCCUGUAUAUUGAAAUUAUAUCCACUGGGGAUAGAGUUGGGCCACAAAAGGAGAAAACUUCACAUGGGAAUAUUUUGGAAAACAAAUUUUCUCAAUAACAGUAUAAAACAUCCAAAUAUGAAACAGAUGGCGC
Saccostrea echinata is the source of this 482-nucleotide long non-coding RNA. RefSeq lists it as uncharacterized. The transcript is spliced from 5 exons. NCBI's taxonomy places the organism in Eukaryota, Metazoa, Mollusca, Bivalvia, Ostreida, Ostreidae. The record is from RefSeq and is a predicted model, not a curated record.